GGAGUCGGCCGUACAGUCGCUGCCGUGCUGCAAGCGCGGCGGAGGAAAGUCCGGGCUUCGCAGGGCAGGGUGCCAGGUAACGCCUGGGAGGCGCGAGUCUACGGAAAGUGCCACAGAAAACAGACCGCCGCCGGCUUUCUGGUCGGCGGUAAGGGUGAAAAGGUGCGGUAAGAGCGCACCGCGUCGCGGGUAACCGCUGGCGGCAUGGUAAACCCCACCCGAAGCAAGGCCAAAUAGGGAUGCGACGGCGCGGCCCGCGCUGCAUCCGGGUAGGCCGCUCGAGGCGGCUGGCGACAGCCGUCCCAGAUGAAUGACUGUUCUUGACAGAACCCGGCUUACAGGCCGACUCCUUCU
RNAcentral lists this RNase P RNA (354 nucleotides) under Wenzhouxiangellaceae bacterium. Its description in RNAcentral is "RNase P RNA component class A". It matches the Rfam family "Bacterial RNase P class A". Rfam says of the family: Ribonuclease P (RNase P) is a ubiquitous endoribonuclease, found in archaea, bacteria and eukarya as well as chloroplasts and mitochondria. Its best characterised activity is the generation of mature 5'-ends of tRNAs by cleaving the 5'-leader elements of precursor-tRNAs. Cellular RNase Ps are ribonucleoproteins. The record is from RNAcentral. Lineage: Bacteria; Pseudomonadati; Pseudomonadota; Gammaproteobacteria; Chromatiales; Wenzhouxiangellaceae.